This 756-nucleotide long non-coding RNA is filed under the name Bos indicus x Bos taurus (hybrid cattle). RNAcentral's name for it is "lncRNA (ENSBIXG00005031220.1)". The record is from RNAcentral. Lineage: Eukaryota; Metazoa; Chordata; Mammalia; Artiodactyla; Bovidae.
GACUCUGAUGCUGGGAGGGAUUGGGGGCAAGAGGAGAAGGGGACGACAGAGGAUGAGAUGGCGGGAUGGCAUCACUGACUCGAUGGACAUGAGUCUGAGUGAACUCCGGGAGUUGGUGAUGGACAGGGAGGCCUGGCGUGCUGCGAUUCAUGGGGUCGCAAAGAGUCAGACACGACUGAGCAACUGAUCUGAUCUGAUCUGAAGCACCGAGGAAGCAGCAAAAGUCUAAGGAGACUGCUUAUGAGUUACCUACUUGAAAUGCAGGCUUGACAUGAAUAUCCGGAGGAAGCUAUGUGCUUUGCUUCUGUUUUAGGUUUUCCAGUCUUAGGAUGGAGGCCUUAGUGGUUUUCCCCAAAGAAUCAUUGAAUUUGAGGAUUCGUACAACCUCAAGAGAAGAGUUUGUUCUCCAUAAUAUAAAGAACAAAGUGGGCUUUGUACACUUGCUGGUGCCAUUUGUGGCAGAGAAGGACUUUCUCGGAUUGCUUUGGGAUGAUGAAGAGCGUGUCUCUCAUCCAAAAACUGAAAUGAUACCUUCAGGAACAAUCAAAGGCAAGACUUUCCAGCAGAAUGGUGACAAGAUCUGGAAAUGGAAGUAGAAUCAGCAUCUCUGGAACCCCAGAUUCCCAAAUGGAAAUCAGGGACUGCUGAGGAGGGGGAGGGGAGCAGAUGCUGGGGAGACAGCCAACAAUGUGUACAGCACACUCAAUUUCCCACAGUGAAUGAUAGAAAAUAAAACAAAGCAUGCUUUUGAAACCA